This 120-nucleotide ribosomal RNA is filed under the name Capra hircus (goat). The record is from RNAcentral. Lineage: Eukaryota; Metazoa; Chordata; Mammalia; Artiodactyla; Bovidae.
UCUAACGGGCCAUACCACCCUGAACGCGCCCGAUCUCGUCUGAUCUCGGAAGCUAAGCAGGGUCGGGCCCGGUUAGUACUUGGAUGGGAGACCGCCUGGGAAUACCGGGUGCUGUAGGCU